This 253-nucleotide ribosomal RNA is filed under the name uncultured bacterium. Its description in RNAcentral is "partial 16S ribosomal RNA". It matches the Rfam family "Bacterial small subunit ribosomal RNA", at positions 524 to 776 of the family's 1533-position model. The record is from RNAcentral.
UACGAAGGGGGCUAGCGUUGCUCGGAAUUACUGGGCGUAAAGCGCACGUAGGCGGCUUUUUAAGUCGGGGGUGAAAUCCUGGAGCUCAACUCCAGAACUGCCUUCGAUACUGGAAAGCUCGAGUCCGGGAGAGGUGAGUGGAACUGCGAGUGUAGAGGUGAAAUUCGUAGAUAUCGGGAGGAACACCGGUGGCGAAGGCGGCGACCUGGGUAGAUACUGACGCUGAGGUGCGAAAGCGUGGGGAGCAAACAGG